RNAcentral lists this ribosomal RNA (433 nucleotides) under uncultured bacterium. Its description in RNAcentral is "bacterial SSU rRNA". It matches the Rfam family "Bacterial small subunit ribosomal RNA", at positions 958 to 1392 of the family's 1533-position model. The record is from RNAcentral.
AACGCGAAGAACCUUACCAAGUCUUGACAUCCUUUGACCACCCUAGAGAUAGGGCUUUCCCUUCGGGGACAAAGUGACAGGUGGUACAUGGUUGUCGUCAGCUCGUGUCGUGAGAUGUUGGGUUAAGUCCCGCAACGAGCGCAACCCCUAUUAUUAGUUGCCAGCAUUCAGUUGGGCACUCUAAUGAGACUGCCGGUGACAAACCGGAGGAAGGUGGGGAUGACGUCAAAUCAGCAUGCCCCUUAUGACUUGGGCUACACACGUGCUACAAUGGAUGGUACAACGAGUCGCAAACCCGCGAGGGCAAGCAAAUCUCUUAAAGCCAUUCUCAGUUCGGAUUGCAGGCUGCAACUCGCCUGCAUGAAGCCGGAAUCGCUAGUAAUCGUGGAUCAGCACGCCACGGUGAAUACGUUCCCGGGUCUUGUACACACCG